Dermacentor silvarum is the source of this 1808-nucleotide long non-coding RNA. RefSeq lists it as uncharacterized. The transcript has 2 exons. NCBI's taxonomy places the organism in Eukaryota, Metazoa, Arthropoda, Arachnida, Ixodida, Ixodidae. The record is from RefSeq and is a predicted model, not a curated record.
UAAUAUUUAUUGAUACCAGUAGGGUUCUUCGGUUUCGCAAUGUAAAAAAAAUUAAAUCUUGCACGAGCGUAUGCUCAAGAGAGACAGCAGCAAUUAAUUCAUUCGUCACUGAUCUCUUCUGCAUACGUGCCAUUAUAAUCUAAAAGGAAGCCACAGAAACAGUGAACAUACACCGGAGAAUAUUGUGGCAAACGAUGUUGUGGCAUGAAUUAUCACUACACGUUUCAAUGUGAUGGAAAGCCCCCCGCUACCGAUACAGGCAUUUUAAGCUGUGGUAUAAAACAGACUUGUGUGCCUGCACAAAACCUAAAAGCAGAUGCAUUAUGGUGAUUGAAUAUAUAUUUGUACCCAAUAUUCUUUUUUGUCCCUUGUGCAUCAAUGCACCUUAUAUUCGCGUUUGUUUUAUAUUCUCCUGAAACGCGACACCCACUAACAGCGGGCGCACACUGAAGCCGCACGUGGGCGCACGCUAGAGUAGUCUAAAAGCUCGACGACCGACAGAAUCAAAGCUUCGAGCAGGCCGAAUAACUAAUCUGCAGGGCGAGAAAGAUGCUUCGUAAUCAGACUUACUUGUACACUGCAACUGAAUGUUUUGCCACCGCGCUUUCUUUUUCUUCUUUUCUUUCUUUUUUGUAUUUUGAUGUAUAAGAGGGAGUGGUUCCUAAAUUACAGCAAAUGUUGGGUUCAUUAGAGAACGCCAGACACGCACCAAUUUUGCCCGCUCACUAACACGCGAGAAAGACGCCCCUACAUUCACAUGACAGCAGGCGACAGCCGCUCCAGUGAGGUCUCGUAGAGAGAUGAACGUGCGCUCACGGUGGGAGGCCACAAUGGCGGCCGGCCAAAUGAGCAGGGAGAAAACAUACAAAUACAAACGAAAAGCAACAUCCUGAAACAUUAGAAUAUCAGCAUCUUGAUAUAUAUGGUCCUGUGAUACUUUGACGGAACUGUAGUUUGAUUAUUAUAUUUAGUUGCGCUAGAUGCGGGGCAUAAUCAAACGCGCUUCAGCUUCAGCCACACAUGAGCGCCGUCAUAUCUCCUCUGCAUUGCGCAGCUCUCGCGAUGCAUGCCGGGAAGAGUAUGGCCGGUGGUGUCGUUUUAAAACGGUCGUGUCGCGCUUUGUUUCAUCGCUUUACCCACGUUUUUACGCUCUCCGAUUUGGUGGCGUGCGCUUACCAAGCGUAUUGUGUGUCUGAGUCACUCGUGACGAGUGGUACAGUUACCGAAAGGACUCCUAAAGGCUCGCGCGCCGCUGAAAAGAAGCCGUGACGCCGGACGUGGAGCACGGACAUGUUUGGCGUGCUGCGUGGCCGCUGCGACGAGACGCAUUGCCGAUGGCCAAUGGUAAAGGUUCUUCGCUUACCUGAGAGUGGUGAGCAUCGUUUGUGUUGUGACUGCUGUAAUGAAUGCCGAAGACAGCAAUAAAUGUGACCUAGGCUCCACUACACAGCAAGGAGAUCUGAAAAUUAGCAACUGACAUACUAACAGCAAAGAGACAUGAUUGUGCUCGAAACAGGGAUGAGAUCGGCCUCCUCGUGGAAGUCUAAAACUUAUAUGUAUUUGUAUUUGAACAUAUUUUACACGAACCUUCAACAUUUCUCCUUUUCUUUUUUUUGCCCUAUUCCUCGUGAUGCUGUAGAAAUUUGUGAUGCCAGGCAGCGCUGUACUCAGAGGUUUUUUCAUUACUGCUUCAUGGCCGUGGAGAAGAAAACAGACCAAGGAAAAAUGUAAUUUUGCUUGUGAAGGGAGAACUUUGAGUUACCUUGUUUUGUAUAUGCAAAUAAAGUAAACAUGACAUUUUCACUAAA